This 376-nucleotide unclassified non-coding RNA is filed under the name uncultured Cellvibrionales bacterium. RNAcentral's name for it is "contains 16S-23S intergenic spacer region". Lineage: Bacteria; Pseudomonadati; Pseudomonadota; Gammaproteobacteria; Cellvibrionales. The record is from RNAcentral.
UCCGGUUUGUCACCGGCAGUCUCCUUAAAGUGCCCAACUGAAUGAUGGCAACUAAGGACAAGGGUUGCGCUCGUUACGGGACUUAACCCAACAUCUCACGACACGAGCUGACGACAGCCAUGCAGCACCUGUCACUCGAUUCCCGAAGGCGCCAAAGCAUCUCUGCUAAGUUCCGAGGAUGUCAAGACCUGGUAAGGUUCUUCGCGUUGCGUCGAAUUAAACCACAUGCUCCACCGCUUGUGCGGGCCCCCGUCAAUUCAUUUGAGUUUUAACCUUGCGGCCGUACUCCCCAGGCGGUCGACUUACCGCGUUAGCUGCGCCACCAAAGGGUCAAGCCCCCCGACGGCUAGUCGACAUCGUUUACGGCGUGGACUAC